Molecule: ribosomal RNA, 301 nt
Filed under: uncultured bacterium
Lineage: Bacteria
Description: partial 16S ribosomal RNA
Rfam family: Bacterial small subunit ribosomal RNA
Source: RNAcentral
CAGCCGCCACGGGAAUACGUAGGUGGCGAGCGUUGUCCGGAAUUAUUGGGCGUAAAGGGAGCGCAGGCGGACAUAUAAGUCCAUCUUAAAAGUGCGGGGCUCAACCCCGUGAGGGGAUGGAAACUGUAUGCCUUGAGUGCAGGAGAGGAAAGCGGAAUUCCCAGUGUAGCGGUGAAAUGCGUAGAUAUUGGGAGGAACACCAGUGGCGAAGGCGGCUUUCUGGACUGUAACUGACGCUGAGGCUCGAAAGCCAGGGGAGCGAACGGGAUUAGAUACCCCUGUAGUCCCUGUCUCUUAUACA